GGCGGACGGGUGAGUAACACGUGAGUAAUCUGCCUUCUGCAGGGGAAUAACAUUGUGAAAACAGUGCUAAUACCGCAUGACAUAGUUCUGGGGCAUCCCAGGACUAUCAAAGGAGCAAUCCGGCAGAAGAUGAACUCGCGUCCGAUUAGCUGGUUGGCGGGGUAACGGCCCACCAAGGCGACGAUCGGUAGCCGAACUGAGAGGUUGAUCGGCCACAUUGGGACUGAGACACGGCCCAGACUCCUACGGGAGGCAGCAGUGGGGAAUAUUGGGCAAUGGGGGAAACCCUGACCCAGCAACGCCGCGUGAAGGACGAAGGCCUUCGGGUUGCAAACUUCUUUGAUCAGGGACGAAUAAAUGACGGUACCUGAAGAACAAGCCACGGCUAACUACGUGCCAGCAGCCGCGGUAAU
RNAcentral lists this ribosomal RNA (413 nucleotides) under uncultured bacterium. Its description in RNAcentral is "bacterial SSU rRNA". It matches the Rfam family "Bacterial small subunit ribosomal RNA", at positions 97 to 524 of the family's 1533-position model. The record is from RNAcentral.